AUAAUGGGUCAGCGACUUAUAUUCUGUAGCAAGGUUAACCGAAUAGGGGAGCCGAAGGGAAACCGAGUCUUAACUGGGCGUUAAGUUGCAGGGUAUAGACCCGAAACCCGGUGAUCUAGCCAUGGGCAGGUUGAAGGUUGGGUAACACUAACUGGAGGACCGAACCGACUAAUGUUGAAAAAUUAGCGGAUGACUUGUGGCUGGGGGUGAAAGGCCAAUCAAACCGGGAGAUAGCUGGUUCUCCCCGAAAGCUAUUUAGGUAGCGCCUCGUGAAUUCAUCUCCGGGGGUAGAGCACUGUUUCGGCAAGGGGGUCAUCCCGACUUACCAACCCGAUGCAAACUGCGAAUACCGGAGAAUGUUAUCACGGGAGACACACGGCGGGUGCUAACGUCCGUCGUGAAGAGGGAAACAACCCAGACCGCCAGCUAAGGUCCCAAAGUCAUGGUUAAGUGGGAAACGAUGUGGGAAGGCCCAGACAGCCAGGAUGUUGGCUUAGAAGCAGCCAUCAUUUAAAGAAAGCGUAAUAGCUCACUGGUCGAGUCGGCCUGCGCGGAAGAUGUAACGGGGCUAAACCAUGCACCGAAGCUGCGGCAGCGACACUGUGUGUUGUUGGGUAGGGGAGCGUUCUGUAAGCCUGCGAAGGUGUGCUGUGAGGCAUGCUGGAGGUAUCAGAAGUGCGAAUGCUGACAUAAGUAACGAUAAAGCGGGUGAAAAGCCCGCUCGCCGGAAGACCAAGGGUUCCUGUCCAACGUUAAUCGGGGCAGGGUGAGUCGACCCCUAAGGCGAGGCCGAAAGGCGUAGUCGAUGGGAAACAGGUUAAUAUUCCUGUACUUGGUGUUACUGCGAAGGGGGGACGGAGAAGGCUAUGUUGGCCGGGCGACGGUUGUCCCGGUUUAAGCGUGUAGGCUGGUUUUCCAGGCAAAUCCGGAAAAUCAAGGCUGAGGCGUGAUGACGAGGCACUACGGUGCUGAAGCAACAAAUGCCCUGCUUCCAGGAAAAGCCUCUAAGCAUCAGGUAACAUCAAAUCGUACCCCAAACCGACACAGGUGGUCAGGUAGAGAAUACCAAGGCGCUUGAGAGAACUCGGGUGAAGGAACUAGGCAAAAUGGUGCCGUAACUUCGGGAGAAGGCACGCUGAUAUGUAGGUGAAGUCCCUCGCGGAUGGAGCUGAAAUCAGUCGAAGAUACCAGCUGGCUGCAACUGUUUAUUAAAAACACAGCACUGUGCAAACACGAAAGUGGACGUAUACGGUGUGACGCCUGCCCGGUGCCGGAAGGUUAAUUGAUGGGGUCAGCGCAAGCGAAGCUCUUGAUCGAAGCCCCGGUAAACGGCGGCCGUAACUAUAACGGUCCUAAGGUAGCGAAAUUCCUUGUCGGGUAAGUUCCGACCUGCACGAAUGGCGUAAUGAUGGCCAGGCUGUCUCCACCCGAGACUCAGUGAAAUUGAACUCGCUGUGAAGAUGCAGUGUACCCGCGGCAAGACGGAAAGACCCCGUGAACCUUUACUAUAGCUUGACACUGAACAUUGAGCCUUGAUGUGUAGGAUAGGUGGGAGGCUUUGAAGUGUGGACGCCAGUCUGCAUGGAGCCGACCUUGAAAUACCACCCUUUAAUG
Molecule: ribosomal RNA, 1614 nt
Filed under: Escherichia coli
Lineage: Bacteria; Pseudomonadati; Pseudomonadota; Gammaproteobacteria; Enterobacterales; Enterobacteriaceae
Description: partial 23S ribosomal RNA
Rfam family: Bacterial large subunit ribosomal RNA
Source: RNAcentral